This 109-nucleotide non-coding RNA is filed under the name Geobacteraceae bacterium. Its description in RNAcentral is "SAM-I sequence". It matches the Rfam family "SAM riboswitch aptamer (S box leader)". From Rfam's summary of the family: The SAM riboswitch is found upstream of a number of genes which code for proteins involved in methionine or cysteine biosynthesis in Gram-positive bacteria. Lineage: Bacteria; Pseudomonadati; Thermodesulfobacteriota; Desulfuromonadia; Geobacterales; Geobacteraceae. The record is from RNAcentral.
UUCUUAUCAAGAGCGACCGAGGGACUGGCCCUGUGACGUCGCGGCAACCAGCUUGGAAAAGCAAGGUGCCAAAUCCAGCGAAACCUUCACCGGUUUCGACAGAUAAGGA